AGGGCACCACCAGGAGUGGAGCCUGCGGCCUAAUUUGACUCAACACGGGAAAACUCACCCGGCCCGGACACUGGAAGGAUUGACAGAUUGAGAGCUCUUUCUUGAUUCAGUGGGUGGUGGUGCAUGGCCGUUCUUAGUUGGUGGAGUGAUUUGUCUGGUUAAUUCCGAUAACGAACGAGACUCUAGCCUACUAAAUAGAUCGUCGGCUUACAAACGCCGGCGAGACUUCUUAGAGGGACAGGCGGUGAUUCAACCGCACGAAACAGAGCAAUAACAGGUCUGUGAUGCCCUUAGAUGUCCGGGGCCGCACGCGUGCUACACUGAAGUGAUCAGCGUGCUUUUUCAACCUACUCUGUCAAGAGUGGGGAACCCAAUGAACCUUCUUCGUGAUUGGGAUAGGGGAUUGUAAUUAUUCCCCUUGAACGAGGAAUUCCCAGUAAGCGCGAGUCAUAAGCUCGCGUUGAUUACGUCCCUGCCCUUUGUACACACCGCCCGUCGCUACUACCGAUUGAAUGUUUU
This 519-nucleotide ribosomal RNA is filed under the name uncultured eukaryote. Its description in RNAcentral is "SSU rRNA". It matches the Rfam family "Eukaryotic small subunit ribosomal RNA", at positions 1161 to 1699 of the family's 1831-position model. The record is from RNAcentral.